Molecule: long non-coding RNA, 3653 nt
Organism: Sparus aurata (gilthead seabream)
Lineage: Eukaryota; Metazoa; Chordata; Actinopteri; Spariformes; Sparidae
Source: Ensembl
CAGACACAAGCUUUGCAAUGUCAACAUUAAUGCAAAUUGAAAGGAGUUUAAUAAGUGUGUCACAGACUCAAAAACCAUUGUAUGAACUUGUUUGAUAUUAGAUUGAAUGUAACAAACAUGCAUUUAUGUGUAAAAUGUCUGUAGCCUUAAGUCGCUCUACACUGUAUAUAUACGUGCAACAGAUAAAAAAUCUUUUUCUGUUUCCUCCCUAUCUUUUCAGUGGUUGCCAGUGACCGCUCUACUCCUUUUGAGUCAGCUGAGGAGGUUCUCCCAGUGACCCAAUCUAACAGCUCUCAACACUUAUUUGGUAUUUACCUUACUGUAAUUAAGUAAUUUAGCAAAAAGCAUGAAAACGAUGUUCAUUUCAUUUUCCCUUUCUUUCAGACUGUGAGAUGCAGAAACUGCAGGACAUUCUGACCUCAGCAGAUGUUCCAGGUAGAAAUGAGCAGCCUUCUACGUCCACAUCGUGGUGCUUGCGCCAAUCUGCAGCCCAAGAUGAGUGGCGGAAAGCAAGGCGCCAUCACCCCAACUGUUUGCUGUCCUGCAACAGUGUUCCAGAGAGGAACUGCAGCCACUGCACAUCUCCUGCCAUUAUUCGCUGCAGAGACUGCAUGCCGGAGGAGUGGCUCUGUAUGGAUUGUGACAUACAUAUACACACCAAACUCACACUACCAUAACAGGGAGUCCUGCAUUGAGGGAGUUUACAAGCCCAUUGAGCCAACGCUGUGCUGUGCAAAAGAAGAUGGCAGAUAUACACUGGUCAAGCAAGUACGUCUAUUGCCUACAGUGAGACCUGUCCAAUUAUGCACAUGUGACCCUACAAACAUCACAGAAUCAGCUGGCAGAGCAGUAAUUUUGGUUUGCAUAAAUGGUAUGAAAUAUGGCUUUAUAUAUAUAUUUUUUUUUGUACAGCUGCGUGUCACAAAAAAAACAUAUAUUUAAUUUACCAUACUUUUUUUGUUUCUAGGUCGAUAUGACUUUCAUUUGCGGUGGUGAAAAAAAUCGAUUAUUGAUUAAUCGCGAUUAUAAUAUUGACGAUUAUGAUUCGAUUAUUAAAUUUCCAAAAAUCGAUUUAAAAAAAAAAAAAAAAAAUUUUUUUUUUUUUUUUUUUUUUGAAAUAGUAAUACAAACUGGAGUCCUCCUCUUACUGGCUUCCGCUACAUGGUCCACAGUCUGGAGCCAAGAUAUGUUAUUCCAUCCCGGAGCUUUUUCACACUUAAAUUGAUUCCAAAUCUUUACAAGGAGACAAAGCUUUCCAUGCAAGUGUCCCUCAACUCUGCUCACAGGGUAGCAAUAACCUGCGAUGCCUGGACAUCCAAAACUACAGUCUCAAAAGUGACCAUUACACAGGGGCGGUUCUUGGGGGGGGGGGGGGCAACAGGGGCCAGUGCCCCCGUAACUCUGAGUCUGGACCCCCCUCUGGCCCCCCCAACAGGGAGUCUGCAUCAAUAAUACAAUGACAGAUUUCUUGUAAAGAUUUUGUUUUGAAGGGAAAGGCAGAAAUAAAGUGUCUCAGCAGUUUACUACCCAAUCAAAAUUGCUGAAAUUGUAAACACUGUUUUGUCUGAAUGAGGGAUUUAUCUUUUUUCCGGGUUGUAUGUGCCCCCUAACAAAAAAGGCGGCCCCAACCUGGCUCCCCUAUUAAAACUGGUCUAGAACCGCCACUGCCAUUACAGCUCAUUAUGUCAGCAGUUAAUGGAAGCUAAUGUCCUACGUACUUCAGGCGAAAGCUAUGGAUGAUAGCCACACAAGCGCAAAUAUGUGUGAGUUUCUCAAAGCAAUGGCAGAGGAGUGGGGAACAGAGAAACACGCCCUGGUUCUCAUCACCAACAAUGCUUCUAACAUGAGUCCGGCUGCUGAGCUUGGCAGCUUUCUUUUAACAGUGAAACACCACAUUUAAAACAAAUUAAAAAAUAAUAAUUUAAUAAUAAUAAUUUAUUACAGUUACACUAUACAAUAUUGAAGGUGCUGUGAGGUGUUACUCAAAAGAGAAGUAAAGUAAUUCAGCAGCUGACUGAUGUUAAAUGGAAGAUCAAUAAUCGUUAAUAAUCGAAAAUCGAUUUGUAAUCGAAUGGAGACUUCAAUAAUCGGAAUCGAAUCGAAUCGGGAAAUUGGGCCGAUUAACCACCCCUACCUGCUGUGCAAAGUAUGUCUGGCACAGUGGACACCAGACAAAAGCGACCUCAUAAGCAGUGGGUAUUGGCCAGCAUCUGUGAAUGCUGAGAUCUUGUUUUCGGUGGAUGUCUUCAAUUCAUUUGAAGAAAUGAAAACUGUUGCACCCAGUCUGUCAAGACAAGGCUUUUUGCAGAUGUUGGAGAGAAGGACUCGUCACUUUGGAAGGGUAAGAUCAGUGUGGAUCAAAGUAGGGAUAGAAGAAUUUAGCUAUUUUAGCUUUUGAAUUUUACAUUUUAAUAUUCAAUUUGUCCAGUCUGGGAAGAUACAUGGAGACACUUUCCAAAGGAGCUUUCUGGAAUACACAUUUUGCCAUUAUGAGUGUGAGAGAAUGGCCAGUGUAGAGCACUUCACCUGCCCGGCAUGUACCCCCAACAUGCUUGCUCUUUGUGCAGAUGGCAACAGGAAGCAGUACCGUUUUCGACAGUCAAGAGGGUUAGUUGUUAACAUUUUGUAAAACCAAUUGAACAAAUAAUGUCUGACACUAAACUUCAUUAUUUUUCUUAUUCUAUUUAGGUCAGAUGAGCCAUAUUUUGAUGGCACCUUCAUUGCAAAGGACGCUGAUGUCCAUAAUUUUGUUGAGGAGACAAGGAGUAAAAUGAAAAGUGUGAGGAAAAUAUUUAUUGUUUGCACCAUUACUUUGUUUUGGCCAAAAAUAAAAAUGUAUGAUUUUUCCACUGUUAAAUAACUAUUUUAUCCCUCAAGACCAGGUGGUGUCAGCUGAUACAAUGCAGACUAAUAUCUUAGUUUCCAACCAGCGAUUUAAGCAUUAUGAAAUAACUUGUUAGUUUUCACUUCUAACCAGAAUUACUUUGUCAUGCAGACUGCAGGCAGAGGAAUCUGUGGAGCCAGUCAGUGGUCUGCUGCACGUGAGACCGCGAGAAGAGCAAGCAAACUCGAUGAAGAGGGCCUUGAGGUGGUUGUCUGCAGACACGGAGUGCUACUGAAGGCCCUCAACAUGUAUAGGGGGGAAAUAUUUGCCUAUCCAGUUUUCCUGCAGAAGGAGCUUCAGGCAGCCACAAAAGGGCAGUUCUACUGCACAGAUACUGCGUGCAAGUAUUGGCCCUACCUGGAGAAGUUGGCGGUCUCAGUGUUGGAACUCAGACCUCUCCUGCAGAUGAGGCCAUUCCUUUCGGUCAUGCACGCCAAGGCCCAUUCAACCAAGUGUGAGGUACUACAUGUUAUGUAUCUUACCAUUUGAAAUUUUAUUUUUAUUACUUAAAUGAUAUAUAAUACAGUAUAUAUAAUAAUAAUACAUUUCCCAAUGAUUUGUUAGAUAAUCUGGAGUGGGAAAAAUCAGGAGGGUGCUGGCACAACUGCAGGGGAGGAGGUCGAAAUGGUCAAUAGCUACCUCUCUCGUUGUGCCCUCACAACCAAGUACAUGACAAAAUCUGGUAAGUUUUGCUUAUAUGUAUUAUACUUAAAACCCAGUCUUUCAUUCCUUCUGUCAUACUUUGUAUAGGAUUGAAUAAGAGAACGUU